Molecule: ribosomal RNA, 301 nt
Filed under: uncultured bacterium
Lineage: Bacteria
Description: partial 16S ribosomal RNA
Rfam family: Bacterial small subunit ribosomal RNA
Source: RNAcentral
CAGCCGCCGCGGUAAUACGAGGGGGGCAAGCGUUGUUCGGAAUUAUUGGGCGUAAAGGGCGCGUAGGCGGUUUGGCAAGUUUGGUGUGAAAUCUUCGGGCUCAACUCGAAGUCUGCAUCGAAAACUGCCGGGCUUGAGUGUGGGAGAGGUGAGUGGAAUUUCCGGUGUAGCGGUGAAAUGCGUAGAUAUCGGAAGGAACACCUGUGGCGAAAGCGGCUCACUGGACCACAACUGACGCUGAGGCGCGAAAGCUAGGGGAGCAAACAGGAUUAGAUACCCGCGUAGUCCCUGUCUCUUAUAC